This 504-nucleotide ribosomal RNA is filed under the name uncultured fungus. RNAcentral's name for it is "SSU rRNA". It matches the Rfam family "Eukaryotic small subunit ribosomal RNA", at positions 248 to 755 of the family's 1831-position model. The record is from RNAcentral. Lineage: Eukaryota; Fungi.
GAUUCAUAAUAACUUCUCGAAUCGCACGGCCUUGCGCCGGCGAUGGUUCAUUCAAAUUUCUGCCCUAUCAACUUUCGACGGCUGGGUCUUGGCCAGCCAUGGUGACAACGGGUAACGGAGGGUUAGGGCUCGACCCCGGAGAAGGAGCCUGAGAAACGGCUACUACAUCCAAGGAAGGCAGCAGGCGCGCAAAUUACCCAAUCCCGACACGGGGAGGUAGUGACAAUAAAUACUAAUACAGGGCUCUUUUGGGUCUUGUAAUUGGAAUGAGUACAAUUUAAAUCCCUUAACGAGGAACAAUUGGAGGGCAAGUCUGGUGCCAGCAGCCGCGGUAAUUCCAGCUCCAAUAGCGUAUAUUAAAGUUGUUGAGGUUAAAAAGCUCGUAGUUGAACCUUGGGCCUAGCCGGCCGGUCCGCCUCACCGCGUGCACUGGCUCGGCUGGGCCUUUCCUUCUGGAGAACCGCAUGCCCUUCACUGGGUGUGUCGGGGAACCAGGACUUUUAC